This is a long non-coding RNA of Alexandromys fortis (reed vole), 1044 nucleotides long. RefSeq lists it as uncharacterized. The record is from RefSeq and is a predicted model, not a curated record. NCBI's taxonomy places the organism in Eukaryota, Metazoa, Chordata, Mammalia, Rodentia, Cricetidae. The transcript has 4 exons.
UCUGCUAAUGUUCUGCAAUCCACAAUAGCACUGAUCCAGGUCAGUCCACAGUGCUAAGAUCCAAACACCCAGCUGACGGAAGCUUCUCUUUAUAUCAGCUGUCGAUGAGAGGUGCUCUCAGUCAGAACCAAAGAAAUUCUAACCAUUUCUAGAUCUACUGCAGGUUGCCUCAGAGCGGGUGGGACAAGAAAGAGAACGUGGUGGAAUUAAGAAGAGUACUGUCAUCUAGAAGGAGGUGACAUCUAUAGAGGAGGAGCCACUGCAGUAGCUGACUGUCAGAGUUUAACCAUCCUGCCUUCUACAAUGAAGGAAUGGAAACGCCGGACUCUAACAGAUUUAUAUGGACAAGUUCACAACAACAACGUGGCGUCUCAUGCUCAGAAUGACUAAGGAUUUACAAUGAUGGGUGUGGAACAUUCUAUCAAAUAUAGGACUCUCUGAUCACAGGAGCCGCCCCUCACAUGCUAGCAGUACAUCUUUAACAGCGAGUGAGCAAUAAACAGCUCACUGUCAUCGCCUCCUAGUUCCGUGUCCCCUGAGGUCACACUGGAGUACGAAUUCAUCCAUGGUGAGAAAUUCUGCACUGCAUGGAAUCUGGAAUACGGCAUACAUCUUUCUGCAGGGGAAAUCAAAAGCACGAGUGGAAAGAACAGGAUGACCUACAAGCAAAAGGACUACCCUUGCUUUAAUUAAGAAGGAGCAGAAAGCAAUUUCUUCCUCAUUCUUAUUCAACCACAUUGAAAUGUUACCCCAUGCACUGUCAUUUUUAAACUCCUAACGGCACUGAGCUAACAUCUUUGAAAGAUUUAUUUUUGUUUUGAAAAUAAAAAUCCAUGCAGAAUGCAGAGGGAAUGAAUGUCUGCACGGGGACCGUGUAAAUCAAGAUUGUGUUGGCUGCAUUUGAUAGCUUGCCUUGAUGCCUCCUAACCCACCAAGCUUGGUUGCUAGGCAACCAGGACCGCUUCUCUGAAUAUAGUUAUUAACAGGUUUAGGUUGCACUGAAAAAAAAAAAGAAAAGAAAAAUAAAAAGAAAACAACAUGGAC